This 460-nucleotide ribosomal RNA is filed under the name uncultured bacterium. Its description in RNAcentral is "partial 16S ribosomal RNA". It matches the Rfam family "Bacterial small subunit ribosomal RNA", at positions 338 to 795 of the family's 1533-position model. The record is from RNAcentral.
CCUACGGGAGGCUGCAGUGAGGAAUAUUGGUCAAUGGCCGAGAGGCUGAACCAGCCAAGUAGCGUGAAGGAUGACGGCCCUACGGGUUGUAAACUUCUUUUGUCAGGGAAUAAAGCGCGGGACGUGUCCCGCUUUGCGUGUACUUUGUGAAUAAGCAUCGGCUAACUCCGUGCCAGCAGCCGCGGUAAUACGGAGGAUCCGAGCGUUAUCCGGAUUUAUUGGGUUUAAAGGGAGCGGAGGUGGGUUGUUAAGUCAGCUGUGAAAUUUUGCGGCUCAACCGUUUAAUCGCGAUUGAUACUGGCAGUCUUGAGUAGACUAGAGGUAAGCGGAAUGCGUGGUGUAGCGGUGAAAUGCAUAGAUAUCACGAAGAACUCCGAUUGCGAAGGCAGCUUACUAACGUGCAACUGACAUUGAUGCACGAAAGUGUGGGUAUCAAACAGGAUUAGAUACCCUAGUAGUC